RNAcentral lists this transfer RNA (64 nucleotides) under Hymaea magna. Its description in RNAcentral is "tRNA-Leu". The record is from RNAcentral. Lineage: Eukaryota; Metazoa; Arthropoda; Insecta; Coleoptera; Phloeostichidae.
UCUAAUGUGGCAGACUAGUGCACUGGAUUUAAACCCCAAUUAUAAAGUUUUCCUUUCUUUAGAA